RNAcentral lists this ribosomal RNA (644 nucleotides) under Doto coronata. RNAcentral describes it as "12S ribosomal RNA". Lineage: Eukaryota; Metazoa; Mollusca; Gastropoda; Nudibranchia; Dotidae. The record is from RNAcentral.
AUUAACUCAGCAAGAAAUAUUAAACAAUACUAGAAAUAGUAAUUUAAUUAGAGUAUAAAGGUUUGACUAAUUAGGUGCCAGCAGUCGCGGUCAUACCUAGAAAUCAAAUUAUAAUAAUUAGGCUGGCUUAAAAGGAAUUUUUAUAAGUAGGUAAAAUUUUUAUAAAAGAUAAUAUCAAACUCAAUUUGGCCUAAACUCUGAAAAUAAACCAGGAUUAGAUACCCUGUUAUAUAGAGCCAAAAUCCUUAGCUUAAGCACUAAGACUAUAUAGUUAAAACUUAAAUGACAUGGCGGCAGCUUCGAAUUUCAGGGGAACUUACCAGAUAAAUGAUAACCCGCAAGGAAUCCUAUUUUUCCUAAAAACUUGUAUAUCGUCGUCUUCAGAACCCGUCUAAGAUGAGUUCGAAAUGUAAAUUAGUACAAAAAGACAGAUCAAGAUGCAGUCUAUGGAGAAACCUUAAGGUGAGUUACAAUGAUUUUAAUCUUAGAAUUUUAGUGAAAAUCAAAAAGGAAAUCGGACUUGAAAGUAAAAUUUAUAACAGUUAUAAAUUGAAUGUUUUAAAAGCUGUGCACAAAUCGCCCGUCACUCUCGUUGAAAAAGGAGAUAAGUCGUAACAUAGUAAGAGUACUGGAAAGUGCUCUUG